AGGUCCUCAAUAAGUAUUUGUU
RNAcentral lists this microRNA (22 nucleotides) under Echinops telfairi (small Madagascar hedgehog). RNAcentral describes it as "Ete-Mir-1264_5p* (star (passenger))". Lineage: Eukaryota; Metazoa; Chordata; Mammalia; Afrosoricida; Tenrecidae. The record is from RNAcentral. RNAcentral also lists the same sequence under 11 other names.